This 576-nucleotide ribosomal RNA is filed under the name Neofusicoccum parvum. RNAcentral describes it as "eukaryotic LSU rRNA". The stretch from base 207 to 360 matches the Rfam family "5.8S ribosomal RNA". Lineage: Eukaryota; Fungi; Ascomycota; Dothideomycetes; Botryosphaeriales; Botryosphaeriaceae. The record is from RNAcentral.
CGUAGGUGAACCUGCGGAAGGAUCAUUACCGAGUUGAUUCGAGCUCCGGCUCGACUCUCCCACCCAAUGUGUACCUACCUCUGUUGCUUUGGCGGGCCGCGGUCCUCCGCACCGGCGCCCUUCGGGGGGCUGGCCAGCGCCCGCCAGAGGACCAUAAAACUCCAGUCAGUGAACUUCGCAGUCUGAAAAACAAGUUAAUAAACUAAAACUUUCAACAACGGAUCUCUUGGUUCUGGCAUCGAUGAAGAACGCAGCGAAAUGCGAUAAGUAAUGUGAAUUGCAGAAUUCAGUGAAUCAUCGAAUCUUUGAACGCACAUUGCGCCCCUUGGUAUUCCGAGGGGCAUGCCUGUUCGAGCGUCAUUUCAACCCUCAAGCUCUGCUUGGUAUUGGGCUCCGUCCUCCACGGACGCGCCUUAAAGACCUCGGCGGUGGCGUCUUGCCUCAAGCGUAGUAGAAAACACCUCGCUUUGGAGCGCACGGCGUCGCCCGCCGGACGAACCUUUGAAUUAUUUCUCAAGGUUGACCUCGGAUCAGGUAGGGAUACCCGCUGAACUUAAGCAUAUCAAUAAGCGGAGG